Molecule: unclassified non-coding RNA, 1575 nt
Filed under: Patiria miniata (bat star)
Lineage: Eukaryota; Metazoa; Echinodermata; Asteroidea; Valvatida; Asterinidae
Description: uncharacterized LOC119738117, transcript variant X2
Source: RNAcentral
CAUUUUAAUAAACCAGGAAGGUAGUCAUUGACCAGUGAAGACGUAUAAGAUUAUCCACGAGCGACGAAGUUGUCUAAAAGAAUUAUUUGCGGAGAACUUCGGAGACAGUCCUUCCAGCAAGAUGUUGUCCAGUUUCCUUGUGUGCACCAUGGUCGUGAUGGCUGGAGCAGUGGCCGUGACCAAGCCCGCCAUGCCUAGGGCCUAUGAUGUGUUCAGAAGCCUGCCCAAACGAGUUGGUAGCACCGAAGACCAUGAACACCAUGUGCCUUGUGAACCUCCUCCCUACUUCACUUUCGAUGAAGUCGACAUGUUGACUUCGGUGGAAGAGGGCAGCCUUCUGCUCGAGUACCUUAAUUUCGAGGGAGCGUAUGACGACAUAUCCAAGAAAUAUGCAGCGAAGAUAUUUGAGGAUUUCUUCAAUGGAACUGAGUACUCUUUCAAAGUGAUUGAAGACUACAAAAAGGGUGUACGGUAUGAAAUAUACACGGGCGGAGAUGAAGUGGUGUGCAUUGCAAUUGAAGUCGAAGGAAAAGGGUUCCCGGAGCAGUAUUUCAUUCCAUACUCGGCCAAAUACGAAGGAGAGGCAGUCAUAGGCGAUCGUGAUCUUGUUACGGAUAGCUGGCUCGAGACGAGCUUAGGUGUACACACCGUGAAGACUGUGACUCACGGAGAUUGCGUACCAGUGUCAAUCGAACGCCGUUUUUUCGACCCAGAAACUGAUCAGCAAACUGAGUUCCUCGAUAAUCGACUCUUCAAUUUCGAACUUGGUAUCUGUGACCGAGACAAGUACUUCAAAGUCCCCGAAGAGUGCCAACAGGGUAAUGCUUUGAAGGAGCCCACUGAAGAGAUGCAGAAGCAUAUCCAGAAGCUGCGAAGAUUCCGUAAAUUGUGAUUUGGCUUGAUGAAGGCUUCGUCGAGUCAUGCGCAAUCAAGCCACAUUUCUGUGAUCCUAUAAACGUCAUGUUAACGUAGAAGAUUGUAGCUCAAAAGUAUACUGGCUUCGGUCUGACUUGUUGUAACAGUUAUUUGACUAUCACAAAGGUACUGUUUUUUUUUCAGAAGAAUAUAAUGAUAUCCUAGACGUGAGUAAGUGCUAUCACAUGAGUCCACACAUAGACAGAAUUAAACAAAGACCAGCCAUUGCUGGAUGCAUCGUUACCCCUCCAAACGGAGGGAGGCAUCACGGGGGAGGAUCCAUCGUCUGGGGUUCUGCACCGCACUGUACCGAACUCGCAUGUUGUUAUACUCCAUUGCUCAAUUCAAACUGCGAACGGCUUAUUCCGAGUUAGUAAUAGGCACAUUUCAUUUUUCUCAGAAACCUAACAGAGAGUUUGACCAAAAGAGUCACUGUUGUUAAACUUAAGCCUUAUUUGUGAGAAUUUUGUUUAAGACUGGCAUUAUAUUGACAUAAUCGGUUUUUGUUUAAACAUCUGGUUUAAAAUUAAUUUCAUUUUACUGCUAAUGUCGAUGUGUGAACAAGACAAACCAAGAAGUGAAAUGAUUAACACUUGAUUUUGUAUUAAAGGGGCUUUCGGUCAACUAACAUUAAAUAAAACAUACAGCAGGAAACAUGGA